UUAAACAUGAAUGCUUAUAAGAUUUACUAAAAAUCCCUAUUCAAUUUGACCAAAUCAGUAAGAGGACGAUUUUGUUGAUAUUCUUUCUGACACAUUUCGGACGGAUCUGAAAUGAGUAUUUUGAAUUUCAAACAGAUCUUUCAAUUCCCCUUCCAAAAUCUUGUUUUUCUCCUAUAAAUACUCCUCAAAUCUUCAGCCGAAAGAUCAUAUUUUGAAUCCUGAAAAAUAGUUAGAACACGACAAAAUCGAUUCAACAAGUAAUUUUUUUUCUUUUCUGUAAUCUCUGUCCCUAUUUAGUUCCACUAAAACAGAGUUCGAUCUUGUUACUUGGAGGAAGUACAUGCGAAAUCUCAAAGUUUUAGUUCACUGCCUCCUAAAAGGUUAGCUCUAAACCGGAUUUCUAUUAGAAAUGGUUAAGUUUUUAAUCAUGAUUUAGAGAUACAUGUCUACCCUUUGAUAUUAAGAUUUUCCUCAAUUCGUUUACCAUUUUUCUAAAAUGUAAUUUGACAACUUUAGUGAUUUGAAGCUUAUAAAAUCAUUUUUCUUCUGUAUCUCUUUUAUACCUCUUCUAGAAAUUUUAUUGUCUUGUUGAUGCUUUAUUCUCACAUAGGAGUAGAUUAUAAAUGUAUUGAUGGUUAUUAUGUUGUAUACCGAUUUAUGAUCUAGUAAAGUGUUUCUUACAUAUUUUUCGAAUUCUUGUUAAACUAAUUGAGUAAUUCUAAGGUCAUUUGCGUAAAUAAUUUUUAAAAUACAAGGUUUGAACUUUAGGUUUCUUAUUUUUUUCAAGUCAUGACUCAUAUAUCAUAAAUUAGAGAUUAAGUUAAAGGAAAUUGGGUUAAGUCUUCUCUCUGGUUCACUUUUAGUUACAAUAUAAAUUUGUACGCUUUCAUAAAUUAAUGAUUUUAAUUUGUUCUUAGAUAUCACUACGUUAGGAAUUAUUUUAUUCAGGUCUAAUCUUUGUUUUGCUUACCCAUAUAUUUGAAUAAAAAUGUCUUCUAAUACUUAUUAAUACGUCUCUUUUCUGUUUUCGCGUGCUAAUAGAAAUUCUUACUGUAAGCUUAUUUCAAACUUUAGAUGCCAUAAGCUUACUAUUUUACUGGUUUUGAAUAUUGUGUGAUUCCUCUAAAAUAUAUGUUGGGGAAUUCAGUAAUUUUAUCAUUAAAAUAACAGGUGAUAUAACUUUUUUUUUUAAAAGCAAGUCAAUAGUCAUAAUAGCAUAUGCUUAUGAUGUCUUAAGCAUGAGUGAUAAAAGUAAAAUUUGUUGGCCCAUGCUUGUUGAAUAACAGUAUAGUUUUUUUUCCUCUCAUAUAGAACUUUAAAUAUCAAGAUAAUUUCUGUUAAAAGUCUUAAUAAAUUAUUUACAGUACUACUUUAUAAAAUAGAAUUUCUUGGAUGCAUUCUAUGGUCCCGCGUUUCUUGGAACAUUUCAGGUUUAACAGAUGUUAUAUUAUCAAGAAUUAAGUUUCUUUUCUAAUUCUAUUUUUUUCCUUGUCAAUUCUCGAAAUGCCUUUCUGGAUAUUCCUCAAUGUCCCGGCUAUUCACGGAACGUGAGAAGCAGAUGAUUAAUCAUCUUUUUCCGAAAGAAAUCGAAGAAUUUUUUGGGAAUACUACAAGAUCCGUUCGUUUUCUUUGAAUAUACACUUGGAGGAAAAAAUGUAGUCACUCAGCACUACCCGAGCAUGAAGUCAUCAUAUCCUAUAUCGUCUUCUUUAGAAUGCACCAAAUAGCUAGAAAACAAGCGAAAUGCUUGGAUGCGUCUAUGGUGUUCUUCUUUUUCUUUUAAUUCUUCUGCCAUUUAUUUUAUCUAACUUUUGUGAUCGUUAAUUUGCUUGCGUAUUUGGGUACUAUCUCAAUUUUGGCAUUUAAUCAUCUAGAUUCUUUGUCUAUUACUUGCAUUUUUUCACAUGGCAUGACAGUUAGAAUAAGAGGUUUUAAAAGUAGUAAUAAAUUUUCACCCAUUUCCCACUAGCUUAUCUAUUUUACUAAGUAAGCCACUAUAUUUGUAUUCUUCCAAACAAAGUCAAUUUGUCAAGACGACACUUGCGAAAGCUUGUAGUCAAUUUAUUUACAAUAUUAUUAAGUUGAAAAUUUCUUUAUAAUUGGUAUACUAGCUAAUCAUUUCCAAGAAUAAACCUACCAUACGUUUUUUAGCAACUUGAAUAUAAUUUGAAAUUCUUUUCAGCUGCUCUCUUUUGAGAACUCUCAUUUGAAUUUAAAUAAAAGAUUUUCCUAAACCGUAAAAGCUAACUCCAAAAGAACUUAGUUAAUAUUAAUGUAAAACGCCGUCUUAUUUUCUAUAUACUUGGCAUGCGCAUUAACUUUGAUGUUUAGGCAUACAAUUAUCUAAGUAUGCCUAAACACUCUUCCUAAUAUCAAGUAUACUAGUUAUUUCCUUUAUGUCAUGGUCCUUGCAGUUAUUGGAAAAUAAAAUUUUGGAUUUAGCAUUAUUAAUUCUUAGUCCUAACAUUUUACUAAACAGACA
RNAcentral lists this long non-coding RNA (2482 nucleotides) under Nicotiana benthamiana. RNAcentral's name for it is "long non-coding RNA (NBEN_LNC006675)". Lineage: Eukaryota; Viridiplantae; Streptophyta; Magnoliopsida; Solanales; Solanaceae. The record is from RNAcentral.